Molecule: ribosomal RNA, 545 nt
Filed under: Providencia rettgeri
Lineage: Bacteria; Pseudomonadati; Pseudomonadota; Gammaproteobacteria; Enterobacterales; Morganellaceae
Description: bacterial SSU rRNA
Rfam family: Bacterial small subunit ribosomal RNA
Source: RNAcentral
UAAUUGAAGAGUUUGAUCAUGGCUCAGAUUGAACGCUGGCGGCAGGCCUAACACAUGCAAGUCGAGCGGUAACAGGGGAAGCUUGCUUCUCGCUGACGAGCGGCGGACGGGUGAGUAAUGUAUGGGGAUCUGCCCGAUAGAGGGGGAUAACCACUGGAAACGGUGGCUAAUACCGCAUAAUCUCUUAGGAGCAAAGCAGGGGAACUUCGGUCCUUGCGCUAUCGGAUGAACCCAUAUGGGAUUAGCUAGUAGGUGGGGUAAUGGCUCACCUAGGCGACGAUCCCUAGCUGGUCUGAGAGGAUGAUCAGCCACACUGGGACUGAGACACGGCCCAGACUCCUACGGGAGGCAGCAGUGGGGAAUAUUGCACAAUGGGCGCAAGCCUGAUGCAGCCAUGCCGCGUGUAUGAAGAAGGCCCUAGGGUUGUAAAGUACUUUCAGUCGGGAGGAAGGCGUUGAUGCUAAUAUCAUCAACGAUUGACGUUACCGACAGAAGAAGCACCGGCUAACUCCGUGCCAGCAGCCGCGGUAAUACGGAGGGUGCAA